This 300-nucleotide long non-coding RNA is filed under the name Homo sapiens (human). RNAcentral's name for it is "HSALNT0265172". The record is from RNAcentral. Lineage: Eukaryota; Metazoa; Chordata; Mammalia; Primates; Hominidae.
GGUUUAAGAGCGUCUCCACGGUGGGCAGCUCUACUGUGAGCUGGGCUUAUUCUUCACAGGCUCAUGGAAAACUGGGCCUGUGGUGCUGCUGGGGUUUGGAGAGGUGUCUGAUCCAGCAAGGGUGGUCCACGGACUGCAGGCAGCUGGAGAGGACGAUACUUUUCAAUUCCAAAGAUCUGAGACGGGCAGUAGGGUCCAGGCAGAGCACCCGUAAAAAGGCGACUGUGUGGAAGCUCCGAAAAUUAAAGCUGGCAAGCAAGAAGGAGCCCGAAGUCAUUCUCGCACUGCUAACCAGUGGCA